Sinocyclocheilus rhinocerous is the source of this 109-nucleotide long non-coding RNA. RefSeq lists it as uncharacterized. The record is from RefSeq and is a predicted model, not a curated record. The transcript has 3 exons. Lineage: Eukaryota; Metazoa; Chordata; Actinopteri; Cypriniformes; Cyprinidae.
CAGAGUCUGUGUGCACCUAACAUAAGGCCGCCUCACAUACAGCUGACGAAAUCAGGCUUGUACUGUGUGUAAGCUAUUGUGCAACAAUUGCCUCAUUGUAAAAACAAAA